UGCAACUCGACUACAUGAAGCUGGAAUCGCUAGUAAUCGCGAAUCAGAAUGUCGCGGUGAAUACGUUCCCGGGUCUUGUACACACCGCCCGUCACACCAUGGGAGUUGGGAAUGCCCGAAGCCGGUGACCUAACCGAAAGGGAGGAGCCGUCGAAGGCAGGCUUGAUAACUGGGGUGAAGUCGUAACAAGGUAUC
Molecule: ribosomal RNA, 195 nt
Filed under: uncultured bacterium
Lineage: Bacteria
Description: partial 16S ribosomal RNA
Rfam family: Bacterial small subunit ribosomal RNA
Source: RNAcentral